UACGAAGGGGGCUAGCGUUGCUCGGAAUCACUGGGCGUAAAGCGCGCGUAGGCGGAUCGUUAAGUCGGGGGUGAAAUCCUGGGGCUCAACUCCAGAACUGCCUUUGAUACUGGCGAUCUUGAGUCCGGGAGAGGUGAGUGGAACUCCGAGUGUAGAGGUGAAAUUCGUAGAUAUUCGGAAGAACACCAGUGGCGAAGGCGGCUCACUGGCCCGGUACUGACGCUGAGGUGCGAAAGCGUGGGGAGCAAACAGG
This 253-nucleotide ribosomal RNA is filed under the name uncultured bacterium. RNAcentral describes it as "partial 16S ribosomal RNA". It matches the Rfam family "Bacterial small subunit ribosomal RNA", at positions 524 to 776 of the family's 1533-position model. The record is from RNAcentral.